GACGAACGCUGGCGGCGUGCUUAACACAUGCAAGUCGAACGGAAAGGCCCUGCUUUUGUGGGGUGCUCGAGUGGCGAACGGGUGAGUAACACGUGAGUAGCCUGCCCUUGACUUUGGGAUAACUUCAGGAAACUGGGGCUAAUGCCGGAUAGGAGCUCCUGCUGCAUGGUGGGGGUUGGAAAGUUUCGGCGGUUGGGGAUGGACUCGCGGCUUAUCAGCUUGUUGGUGGGGUAGUGGCUUACCAAGGCUUUGACGGGUAGCCGGCCUGAGAGGGUGACCGGCCACAUUGGGACUGAGAUACGGCCCAGACUCCUACGGGAGGCAGCAGUGGGGAAUAUUGCACAAUGGGCGGAAGCCUGAUGCAGCAACGCCGCGUGCGGGAUGACGGCCUUCGGGUUGUAAACCGCUUUCGCCUGUGACGAAGCGUGAGUGACGGUAAUGGGUAAAGAAGCACCGGCUAACUACGUG
Molecule: ribosomal RNA, 468 nt
Filed under: uncultured bacterium
Lineage: Bacteria
Description: partial 16S ribosomal RNA
Rfam family: Bacterial small subunit ribosomal RNA
Source: RNAcentral